Molecule: ribosomal RNA, 521 nt
Filed under: uncultured Glomus
Lineage: Eukaryota; Fungi; Glomeromycota; Glomeromycetes; Glomerales; Glomeraceae
Description: SSU rRNA
Rfam family: Eukaryotic small subunit ribosomal RNA
Source: RNAcentral
AGCAGCCGCGGUAAUUCCAGCUCCAAUAGCGUAUAUUAAAGUUGCUGCAGUUAAAAAGCUCGUAGUUGAAUUUCGGGACCGAUAUAUCGGUCGUGCCUCGGUACGUACUGGUAUUUUCGGUUUCUCCCUUCUGACGAACCUUGAUGUCAUUAAUUUGGUGUCUUGGGAAAUCAGGACUGUUACUUUGAAAAAAUUAGAGUGUUUAAAGCAGGCUCGCGCUUGAAUACAUUAGCAUGGAAUAAUGAAAUAGGACGUUUGAUUCUAUUUUGUUGGUUUCUAGGAUCGACGUAAUGAUUAAUAGGGAUAGUUGGGGGCAUUAGUAUUCAAUUGUCAGAGGUGAAAUUCUUGGAUUUAUUGAAGACUAACUACUGCGAAAGCAUUUGCCAAGGAUGUUUUCAUUAAUCAAGAACGAAAGUUAGGGGAUCGAAGACGACCAGAUACCGUCGUAGUCUUAACCAUAAACUAUGCCGACUAGGGAUCGGAUGAUGUUAAUUUUUUAAUGACUCAUUCGGCGCCUUACG